RNAcentral lists this ribosomal RNA (497 nucleotides) under uncultured bacterium. Its description in RNAcentral is "partial 16S ribosomal RNA". It matches the Rfam family "Bacterial small subunit ribosomal RNA", at positions 28 to 507 of the family's 1533-position model. The record is from RNAcentral.
GAUGAACGCUGGCGGCGUGCCUAAUACAUGCAAGUCGAACGCAUAGCGAAAGGUGCUUGCACCUUUCAAGUGAGUGGCGUACGGGUGAGUAACACGUGGACAACCUGCCUCAAGGCUGGGGAUAACAUUUGGAAACAGAUGCUAAUACCGAAUAAAACUUAGUGUCGCAUGACACAAAGUUAAAAGGCGCUUCGGCGUCACCUAGAGAUGGAUCCGCGGUGCAUUAGUUAGUUGGUGGGGUAAAGGCCUACCAAGACAAUGAUGCAUAGCCGAGUUGAGAGGCUGAUCGGCCACAUUGGGACUGAGACACGGCCCAAACUCCUACGGGAGGCUGCAGUAGGGAAUCUUCCACAAUGGGCGAAAGCCUGAUGGAGCAACGCCGCGUGUGUGAUGAAGGCUUUCGAGUCGUAAAGCACUGUUGUAUGGGAAGAACAGCUAGAAUAGGAAAUGAUUUUAGUUUGACGGUACCAUACCAGAAAGGGACGGCUAAAUACGUG